AGAGUUUGAUCCUGGCUCAGGAUGAACGCCUGGCGGCAUGCUUAACACAUGCAAGUUGAACGGACAAUCACCCUUCGGGGUGUGCGUUAGUGGCGGACGGGUGAGUAACGCGUGAGGAACCUGCCUUGCAGUGGGGAAUAACAGCCGGAAACGACUGCUAAUACCGCAUGAUGCAUAGAAGUCGCAUGGCUUUUGUGCCAAAGAUUUAUCGCUGUGAGAUGGCCUCGCGUCUGAUUAGCUUGUUGGCGGGGUAACGGCCCACCAAGGCGACGAUCAGUAGCCGGACUGAGAGGUUGGCCGGCCACAUUGGGACUGAGACACGGCCCAGACUCCUACGGGAGGCAGCAGUGGGGAAUAUUGGGCAAUGGGCGCAAGCCUGACCCAGCAAUGCCGCGUGAAGGAAGACGGUUUUCGGAUUGUAAACUUCUUUUAACAGGGACGAUAAUGACGGUACCUGUUGAAUAAGCUCCGGCUAACUACGUGCCAGCAGCCGCGGUAAUACGUAGGGAGCAAGCGUUAUCCGGAUUUACUGGGUGUAAAGGGCGUGUAGGCGGGACAACAAGUCAGAUGUGAAAGCACGAGGCUCAACCUCGUGUCUGCAUUUGAAACUGUAGUUCUUGAGUGCUGGAGAGGCUAACGGAACUCCUAGUGUAGCGGUGAAAUGCGUAGAUAUUAGGAAGAACACCAGUGGCGAAGGCGGUUAGCUGGACAGUAACUGACGCUGAGGCGCGAAAGCGUGGGUAGCAAACAGGAUUAGAUACCCUGGUAGUCCACGCAGUAAACGAUGGAUACUAGGUGUGCGGGGACUGACCCCCUGCGUGCCGCAGCAAACGCAAUAAGUAUCCCACCUGGGGAGGACGAUCGCAAGGUUGAAACUCAAAGGAAUUGACGGGGGCCCGCACAAGCGGUGGAGCAUGUGGUUUAAUUCGAAGCAACGCGAAGAACCUUACCAGGUCUUGACAUCCCGGUGACCGGCAUAGAGAUAUGCCUUCCCUUCGGGGCACCGGUGACAGGUGGUGCAUGGUUGUCGUCAGCUCGUGUCGUGAGAUGUUGGGUUAAGUCCCGCAACGAGCGCAACCCCUAUUGUUAGUUGCUACGCAAGAGCACUCUAGCGAGACUGCCGUUGACAAAACGGAGGAAGGUGGGGACGACGUCAAAUCAUCAUGCCCCUUAUGACCUGGGCCACACACGUGCUACAAUGGCGUAUAACAAAGGGAGGCAAAGCCGCGAGGCAGAGCGAACCCCCAAAAUACGUCUCAGUUCGGAUUGCAGGCUGCAACUCGCCUGUAUGAAGUUGGAAUCGCUAGUAAUCGCGAAUCAGCAUGUCGCGGUGAAUGCGUUCCCGGGCCUUGUACACACCGCCCGUCACACCAUGAGAGUCGGGAACACCCGAAGUCCGUAGCCUGACCGCAAGGGGGGCGCGGCCGAAGGUGGGUUCGAUAAUUGGGGUGAAGUCGUAACAAGGUAGCCGUAGGAGAACCUGCGGCUGGAUCACCUCCUUUCU
This 1504-nucleotide ribosomal RNA is filed under the name uncultured rumen bacterium. RNAcentral's name for it is "bacterial SSU rRNA". It matches the Rfam family "Bacterial small subunit ribosomal RNA". The record is from RNAcentral.